UUAUGUUCACUAUAAUUUGACAUUGUUUUCUUCAUUGAGCUUGAGUUUCAGUGGUAUGGCAUCAUCAUUGGGUCUGUAUAGACCAAUACAAUGGAUCAGCAUGUAUGAAAAUAUGUAUAUGUCUCAAUCUUCAAAUUUUGCUAUACAAUCAUUACUUGAAACCCCUAAAUUACAACAUUUGGUCCAGCCAAUCGUGUUUUUCAGAACUUCAUCAAGGCAAUAAGAAGCUGGACAUUUGAUUUUUGCAUUGUAUGUGAGCAGAGGUUUAUGGUAUAAAUUGUUGCCCUAGGCAUAGUUUGCUUGGGUUGGAUUGUUACCUGGAAGGUGUAAGGCUUUAAUGAUUGAGAAGCCUAUCAGUUUUGUAAGACUGAAUUGGUGAUUGUAAUGAGGAAAUUUGUGGUGAUGACAAUUCUUUGGGUCAUUUGGCUUGAAGGAAACAGCCAUAGCUUCUCUUUGGGGGUCAGUAGCGAAGUAAAACUAAGGAUAUUGGGCCUUUUUAAUUACCCUUGGUGAUUAAACCACUUUGUUUAGCGGUGUUUAUUUUGAAUAUUGUUCUUUCCUUUUGUUUUGAGGUUGUAUAUUAUGAUUUUCUGUCUUCGACGGUUUCUUAGUCCCUCAAUUCUCAUAAUUUUCUUAUUUUGAUUAUUAAUACAAGUCUCAUUUGUUGUU
Long non-coding RNA from Humulus lupulus (European hop), 669 nucleotides. RefSeq lists it as uncharacterized. The record is from RefSeq and is a predicted model, not a curated record. The transcript has 2 exons. Lineage: Eukaryota; Viridiplantae; Streptophyta; Magnoliopsida; Rosales; Cannabaceae.